Zophobas morio is the source of this 2417-nucleotide long non-coding RNA. RefSeq lists it as uncharacterized. The record is from RefSeq and is a predicted model, not a curated record. The transcript is spliced from 2 exons. NCBI's taxonomy places the organism in Eukaryota, Metazoa, Arthropoda, Insecta, Coleoptera, Tenebrionidae.
UACUUUUUUGUCCAUCUUUUCCAUUCUUGAGUCCAUUUUUCGCCCAUUUCUUUGCUUCUUGCAUUUAUUUUUUCGUCUAUUUUUUCCAUUCUUGCUUUCAUUUUUUCGUCCGUUUCUUUGUUGCUUGUGGUCAUUUUUUCGUCCAUUUCCUUGUUUCUUGCAUCUAUUUUUUCGUCCAUUUUCUUGUUCCUUGCAUCCAUUUUUGCAAGCAUAGCCAUGAUCUGUUUCUCAAGUGCUGCAGUCCUUGGUCUAGUCUGGUUAGGCAUAUAUUCUUCCGAAUUCUUGUGCGAUCUGCCCAGAAGUCGUAAAACCAGUUAUUAAUCUCAAAUCCCACUUCUGACACCAGUGUUAGGAUGAUCUGAUUAAACUCGACUGGAAUGGAUUCAACGUCUCCCAGUGUCUGGAUUACUCUGCCUGCUUCCGACGGUGGUUCCUAUUUAAAGAGCCACGCGGUCCUUCUUGAAACGCCUCCGUUACCGCGACUUCCGCUUCCAGGCUCUUCUUUAGCGAACGCCGUCACCGACGAUGAGUCACCCAUCAUCACCGCACAUACUAGAAAACCCAUAGACGUUGUACCGGGGCGGCGUAUGGCUCUAUUUCGCAACACUAUAUACACAUAAAGUGUUUCUAAAGACAGUUGGAAACAGAGCUAAAUACUUUUAUCACUCAGCGGGAUAUAAAUGCCCCUACCAUAAAUGUUUCAAAGCCCCGCGCCGCACGUCACGAUUACGCUCAACAGCAGGCAGUUAAAGGUUGACCAAGUCUAGUGACCAACGCGCGGAAUUGUAUCUCAUACACUAGAACCAGUGCUGUCCCGGCAAUAGUUUCAUUACAAACUUAUUUUUCAACAUAAUAUAACAUUUCAAGAUCACAAAUCUGUGGUCCUGUGGUUGAAAAAUUAAAAAGGGCAUCAAGUAUUAUUAUUUGAAGUAAUAUAGUAAUAUAGAAGUAGUGUUUUUACUAGCUGUAAACACCCCUAGCGACGCACUGGCUACGACCUUGUGGACCAGAUCAAGGCGUCCCCGCUACUCUCCGUAAAACACACCUUACUUCAACUGGGGGAUUGCAGCGGUGAGAUAAAUUCCCGCGUACUGCUAAGGGAGGGUAUUCUAUGCUAAUGACACUCAUAAAGUGAUUAACUCUAUUUCCAAAUACUUUUAGAAAUACUGUACUGAGAAAGCGCUAUAGACCCUAUCAACGACAUCAAUGGAUUUUCGAAUGUUUGUCUUUGAUUGUUGCAUUUUAAUUGUCAACUAUCAAAUUGACAGUAAUGUGACGAGACGAAAAUUCGGUCAAAGACAAAUCUUCAAAAAUUAAUGGCUGCCUUUAAUAGUGUUUAUUACUGCUCUCUCGGUAUUACCAUUUCAUGACACGAGCUAAACGUUUGUAAGAAUGCUCAAAUAAUAAUAAUAAUAUUAAUAAUCUGUUAUUGGCUAUUAUUAUUCAAUUUUAUAAAAACAAACCUGCAAAUUUCUCGUAGAAUCUCCGAAAAUAUUUCACUUAGCUACUAAUGCUGUAAUCAGCAAAAUGUGGAUCUUUGAAGGUAUUAUCUGCAAAAGGGAAAGCCAGGGGGUUUAGUAACCUCUACAAAAAGAAAAACACAGACAUAUGUUUCACCGUUUCUGGACAGUAGAUAUCAACAUGCUCAGUAUUUCACACAGUGAGAAAAAAUCCUUCAUUUAAGAAUGGUCUUCAUCUCUGAAACACUCUAUUCUAAAUCGACAGCAGAUGACUCAGUACUAUUAAUUUUCGAGGCUAUUCUACUUUCUCUUCUAAGAGGAAUUGAUAUAUGAUGAAUGUGAUGACCACUGUCCGGCGAAAUUAGUGUUUACCCUGGGCAGUCGCCUAGAUAAAUGCGUCGCAGUGUAUCCGCGUGAUGUUGAUCAGUGGCUUUGAACGCAACCAAUCUACUGUGUCAAGAAAAGAAGUAUACCUACACUGAAGCCUCGAUGGAAAUAGCUAAAGUUACGCUGUCAAAUGCCAAGCAUAGGUCAUUGUUUUGUACCUUGGUGAUGAGCUGACUAAAAUGACUUUUCAGAAUUGAACGAAAGUGAAGAAGACGAAAUAUUGAAAGAAAUGAAGAAAAUUUUGAGAUUUGAGGGAACGAUUUGAAGGAAAUACUGAACCAAGAUUUUAGACUUGUAGAGUUGGUAAAUGAAAACAGGUAAUGUGGCAGUAUCGAGGCAAAACCAUUAACGUCUACAUUUUUCCAAAUGUUCGUUUUGAAAGUAUGUUUGACUAAGGACAACUCAAAGGGAACUUACCAAAUUUAUGAGGUUUUUCAUUUUUCUCUUACCCUAUAAGUAGUUGAGGUGAAAAGUUUUUUAGUUAUAGUGUAUGAAUGUCUUAUAUAGAUUUAUCUUUUUUUAUUUGUGCGAUCAUUCGUAGUUUUAAUUAAUAAAGAUGAUAAAAGAUAA